UCUAGAUGGUAUGGAUGACUACGGUAGCAGGACCUAAAAAAAAAAAAGAAAAGGGGGGAAGAAAAGAUAUUUUUUUUAAAUUUUUUUUGACAUUUUUAUUAUAUUUUUUUCUUUUUUCUUCUUUCUUUUUUUUCUUUACCUGUUGAUUAGAUAGCGGAUUGGAUGAAGCGGCUCGGCAAUCUCUACUCCUUUCCGCAUCUCGGCGAUCUCUCCUCCUUUCCGCGGCUCGGCGAUCUCUUAUCCUUUGAAUAUUAUCUCCCCUCUUUUUAUCGUAAUCUCUCUCUCUAUUGCUAUCGUCUCUCCCUAUGUAUUUGUUCUCUCCCCCUUUUUUUUAUCGUCGUCCGUAUUGAUUUUUAUUCUCAUAUUUAUAAUAGAAGAGGCGGCGAGAGAUAUUUUGAGGAGUCGGUUAGGGAUUCAAAUUUUGAAUCGGUUGUUGAAUGGUUGGAAGAUAUUUUGGGGGUUGGUUGGGGAUUCGAAAUUCAAAAUCAAAUUUUGAGUUGGUUGUUGGAUGGAUAGGUAUUCAAAAUUUGAAUGAAUGUGGUUGGUUGGGAGAUUUUUGGGAGUUGGCUGGGAAUUCGAAAUUCGAAAUCGAAUUUUGAAUCGGUUGUGAUUUGUUUGAAGUUGUUUUGGGAGUUGGUUGGGAAUUCGAAAUCAAAAAUUGAAUUUUGAAUCGGUUGUGAUUUGAAAUCGAAUUUCAAAUGGGGUUGUUAGGAUAACAGAUAUUUUCUAGGGUGUGGAUAUGGGCCGUCAUUGAUCUGGCCCCACUUUAAUGAAAUUUAUUGGGCACAAAUAAUAAUAAUCAAUGGGCUGAAAUGAGACCCAAAUUAUUGUAUAGGUCUAAAAUUUUAAAGGGCUUUAAUGAGGCCCACCAACUCGCAUCCAUAAAUAGGCCUAUUGUGAAUUAUAAUUAUUGG
RNAcentral lists this long non-coding RNA (914 nucleotides) under Ananas comosus (pineapple). Its description in RNAcentral is "long non-coding RNA (ACOM_LNC036035)". The record is from RNAcentral. Lineage: Eukaryota; Viridiplantae; Streptophyta; Magnoliopsida; Poales; Bromeliaceae.